CUAUAUUUAUUUUAUUAAAUUGUGUUGUAUAACUAACUCAAUUGAAAUCAUAUGAUGAAUACAACAUGUUAUUGUUGUGUCAUGUUAAAACAGAUGUCUGGGCCGUUAGAAAGCUUACUAACGUGAACUUUCAUAUGACAUUGACUGGUUAAAUCCAAUGAGGGUUAGCCAGCUAGCUAGCUAACGUUGACUAACGAUAUGCCUGCCAUAAAACUAGCCAAACGUAACUAAAUAAUCCGGCCAAACCAAAAUCAAUGUUUAUAGUAAUUUAGUUCAUUGACCUGUAAUAAUUAUCGAUAACGGGCUAAUUUAUAGACUUGCAUGGCUAACUGGGGGCGUUCCAAUUCAUCUAAGAGGAAACGUUAGUCUUGCUAGCGUGUCACACUAUAAUUUUGGGUGUGUUCGUAAAUUCAAUAUGGGUGUUCGUAAAUGUAGAGCGUUGUCAGAUUGUCCGUUUGUAAAUUCAGAGUUUCGCUCUCGGAGCGUUCAGAGCGCACACUGGACGCGUUGCCAGUCAAGCACCCAAGCUAACUGGCUAACGUUGGGUAGUUUGCUGAUUGGGCGUAUAUACCCACGUGAGUGAUUGAAAGCUGAACUGAGGUCCACACUCGGUUCAUCUUUAUGGUAAUGCACCGUAAAGGUGGUUGCCAACCGCCAUUUAAAGUCCAAAGAAGAAAAAAGAAGCCUGAAGGAAUUUACCGUUUUAUCUGUGGAUUAAUUGUUGGAGUAGAGGACCUUGUACAUUUCAGACCGCAAGGUGGUCAUUCUUGCUCAUUGGCAUGUUCUAUGGCAAACAGAGAUAUGACUAUCUGAAGCCAAGAGCUGAGGAAGAG
Oncorhynchus nerka (sockeye salmon) is the source of this 833-nucleotide long non-coding RNA. RefSeq lists it as uncharacterized. The transcript has 4 exons. The record is from RefSeq and is a predicted model, not a curated record. NCBI's taxonomy places the organism in Eukaryota, Metazoa, Chordata, Actinopteri, Salmoniformes, Salmonidae.